UACGUAGGCAGCAAGCGUUGUUCGGAGUUACUGGGCGUAAAGAGUGUGUAGGCGGUGCGGUAAGUUCGGUGUGAAAUCUCCCGGCUCAACUGGGAGGGUGCGCCGGAUACUACCGUGCUCGAGCAUGGGAGAGGAAAGCGGAAUUCCUGGUGUAGCGGUGAAAUGCGUAGAUAUCAGGAGGAACACCGGCGGUGUAGACGGCUUUCUGGACCAUUGCUGACGCUGAGACACGAAAGCGUGGGUAGCAAACAGG
RNAcentral lists this ribosomal RNA (253 nucleotides) under uncultured bacterium. RNAcentral's name for it is "partial 16S ribosomal RNA". It matches the Rfam family "Bacterial small subunit ribosomal RNA", at positions 524 to 776 of the family's 1533-position model. The record is from RNAcentral.